GAUGAACGCUGGCGGCGUGCCUAAUACAUGCAAGUCGAGCGAACAGACGAGGAGCUUGCUCCUCUGACGUUAGCGGCGGACGGGUGAGUAACACGUGGAUAACCUACCUAUAAGACUGGGAUAACUUCGGGAAACCGGAGCUAAUACCGGAUAAUAUAUUGAACCGCAUGGUUCAAUAGUGAAAGACGGUUUUGCUGUCACUUAUAGAUGGAUCCGCGCCGCAUUAGCUAGUUGGUAAGAUAACGGCUUACCAAGGCGGCGAUGCGUAGCCGACCUGAGAGGGUGAUCGGCCACACUGGAACUGAGACACGGUCCAGACUCCUACGGGAGGCAGCAGUAGGGAAUCUUACGCAAUGGGCGAAAGCCUGACGGAGCAACGCCGCGUGAGUGAUGAAGGUCUUCGGAUCGUAAAACUCUGUUAUUAGGGAAGAACAAAUGUGUAAGUAACUAUGCACGUCUUGACGGUACCUAAACAGAAAGCCACGGCUAACUACGUG
This 497-nucleotide ribosomal RNA is filed under the name uncultured bacterium. Its description in RNAcentral is "partial 16S ribosomal RNA". It matches the Rfam family "Bacterial small subunit ribosomal RNA", at positions 28 to 507 of the family's 1533-position model. The record is from RNAcentral.